Molecule: ribosomal RNA, 397 nt
Filed under: uncultured bacterium
Lineage: Bacteria
Description: partial 16S ribosomal RNA
Rfam family: Bacterial small subunit ribosomal RNA
Source: RNAcentral
AUACGUAGGUGACAAGCGUUAUCCGGAUUUACUGGGCGUAAAGGGCGUGUAGGCGGUCUUGCAAGUCAGAAGUGAAAUUCCUGAGCUCAACUCGGGCGCUGCUUCUGAAACUGCAGGACUUGAGUGCUGGAGGGGAUAGCGGAAUUCCUAGUGGAGCGGUAAAAUGCGCAGAUAUUAGGAAGAACACCGGUGGCGAAGGCGGCUAUCUGGACAGUAACUGACGCUGAGGCGCGAAAGCGUGGGGAGCAAACAGGAUUAGAUGCCCGGGUAGUCCACGCCGUAAACGAUGAAUACUAGGUGUAGGGGGUAUCGACUCCCUCUGUGCCGCAGUUAACACAAUAAGUAUUCCGCCUGGGGAGUACGGCCGCAAGGUUGAAACUCAAAUGAAUUGACGGGG